UAUGAAAUCCAUAGGAGGAGAAUAUAAAGAGACUCUGGUGUUUAAGUGGCUCAGGCAUUAUGGGUGAGCAACGGCAGACUCAGUCUCACAGGCCACCAGGUAGAUGGAAAUUCUAAAUUGAAGGGAGCACAGACUCUGCAGGUCAUUGUGGGAAACUCAAGGGUUCCACAUGGGACAGGAAAGUGAGUUGAAGACGUGCGUGGGAGAAGUCAGUUCAAGGCCAGGUCAGUAGAAUUUGGCCUGUGCAGCCUUGUGAGUUCUCUGUAGGAACCAGGAAGAAAACAAAGGGAAGUUGUGAAUGGAAAGAUCUGAACAUAAAGAGAAUCCUUGGAAGGAAGCAGAAGAACACCACCUGCACUCAGUAUUUAUCCUAUUAAAGCAAAUUCUUACCACUGCAGUAUAUUUCAAAAGAGGAAGCGUAGAUGGGAUCACAGGUGAAGAGGGACAUGUUGGUCAUUGGUUUUAAAUAUGUGGACUUUUCACAGCAGGGCUGGCAAAAAUGUAAUACUGGUGAGACUUGAUCCUGAGACCUGCCACACAGAAGAGUCGUCUGGUCCUUGGCCAACUUCAGCUUUGAUGUUGGCCAUUCCUUCUUGGAUAAGUCAGUUGACAGCAACUUGACAAAGGCUGCUGGGAGCCUCUCAAUGACUUCUCGUUGCUAAAGAUGACAAUCUCCGAAGAGGCCUGAGCUUUGUGCGCCUGCCCUGCCCUCUCCACCUGGUCCUGGACCCACCUGCUCCCUCCUCUCUGGGAAGUUCAGACACACGGUCCUGCCCCUCACUCAGCUUCUUGGUGGCUGUACACCAAGCAUGUCAAACUCGUGGACCACAGGCCUCCUGCCUCGUUUAUUUGGCCCGUGUUAGCCUUUGAGUUUGACAUGCUUCUCAGAGCACUGGUUUUCACUUGAGUUGUAAUCAUGGAGAGUUUCUGUUGCGUCCCUAAGCAAUUGUUGGGAGCCCCGACCCUCUGCUCAUGGUGGAGCCUGGCAUAUUUGCUUUCUGGCACAUAGCAACAUGUGGUAUGUGCUGAGUACAUAAUAAUGCAAAUGGCACAUAAUAAUGCAAAUAGCACAUUAUUUUCCCAAGUUCACUUGGAGGAGUAACCACUAGGCAUACUGUCUCUGUACGAUGUAUCAUCAUCUGCUUUUUGUCUAACGAAGCUGCAUGCAUAAGGUCGCGAUCACAAUUCUCUUUUUUAAAUUAUUCACACAUAUGCAUAUGUAUACCCAGAUUUCUCUGGAUGGCAAGAUUAUGGGUGAUUUAGGUGAUUUUUAUUUUAUUUUUGUGCUUUCCUAUUUUUCUAUAAUGUAGAUGGAUAACUUUCAUAAAUAGUAGAGGAAAAAAAUAAGUAAAUUUAUUUAGCACUAGAUAUGUUUACACAAAAGGAGGAGAAACAGGUUUCAAAACAGAAUAAUAGUCCACAUUUCUAAAGUGCUAUGUACCUUUACGUCUUCCAUUAUUGGGAGUAAUUAAGACGAGACUACAGUCAGUUGUGCAAGAGAGAAUUGUUUUCUUUGGUUAUUGGAGAUUAUAGGGGCUUAGCUCAAGGGCAGGUGAAUUUGAUCUGAGGUAAUAAUGAAGCUCAAUUUAAGAAGGUUUUUACCCCUGAAAAAGGAUUUAGGAUGAUAUAAUCAAGUACUUUCUUUUUAUUUGAUCGAGAACUCCUUCCCUUGCCUUCACCCAUAUCCAUGACUGGGCCCGAGUGUCAGUCUCCCCUUCCUGCAUCAUGACCAUCCUUGGGUUUUACCAAUUAAAGCAGCUAAGAGCACUGAAAUGCUUUGAUUACACAAAUGGCUCCUUAGACCCCUUCCCUGUGUAGAAUUGAACUCCUUCCUCUUUGCUUCUGCUCCCUAUCAAUGACAUGUCCCUAUGGCAGCAUCUUGAGCAAGUCACUAUGAUAUCUGCUUGCAUCAUUUUCCUUUUGACCAAAAGGUAAGUUCUGCAGAAAGCAGGGGACUCGCUUACCUGUCCAUCAUGCUGUCCCCUCUCUGUACUUGGCAGGUGCACAGUGUACUUUUCAAAGAUGAAUUACAUCUAAGGUUAUGGUGUAGGUUCACACUUAGAACUAAGAGGUCAAAAGGACAGGACUCAAGACAAAAAGACUGAGAAGAGCAAUUUUGAGAGCUUUAUGGAAAAGUAAAGAGGACAUUUGCCAAAGGAUUGAAAAUAUCUGCCUAAUGCUGUUAUUGCCAUGUGAAUAACCUGGGGAAAUGAACACCAUUGGAGAAGGGUUCUACCGUACUUUCAAGAAGGCAUUUGAAUACAAAGGAGUAUAUUGUUUUCAUCCACAUUAUGGAUGAGUUAUACUCACGUGUUGUCAUCUGUGACUUCUGGAGUAACCUAUUUGGUUAAAUAAACUGGCCACUUCCUUGA
Long non-coding RNA from Myotis myotis, 2372 nucleotides. RefSeq lists it as uncharacterized. The record is from RefSeq and is a predicted model, not a curated record. Lineage: Eukaryota; Metazoa; Chordata; Mammalia; Chiroptera; Vespertilionidae. The transcript has 7 exons.